GCUUUGUCACGGUGUAAUGAGGUGAACACCUCAAGGCUAAUUUGUUGUCUUUAUAGCGUUAGAGCGGCGCUGGUGGCGCGUGCAUUGAGGCGAAUUGGUGCCGGAGACCACGUAAAGUGAUCGCAACAUUUAGCCGGUGGCUGAGUGAUGUGGUGUGUGUGUGUGUGUGUGUGUGUGUGUGUGUGUGUGUCCGCGGUACCUGUGAUUAAUCAUACAACUUCGCGUCUGGUGUUUUGUUCAAUCUAAUGGUGAGAGUGGGGAGUUGAGCUAAGUCUUCUCUAAGACAAACCCCUAGCCGAAGACGCUACAUGUGACGCUGCUGUUUUGCUUUAGUGCAUCAACAAUUGUUUUGCUUUAGUGCAUCAACAGUUGUUUUGCUUUAUGUACUGUUUUGCUUCAUGGUUUUAUGUAUUUUGUUUUACUUUAGUUUUGGAUGUAUGUCUGGUUCGUUUUGCAAGCACAUAUAGUAAGAGAGUGAGCAGUCUGAGAGUGGUAAAAUUAGUGUUUCCUAGCCUCAGAUCUGUUUCAGGUUUGUUGAUCUACAUAACCACUUUACUACUGAAAGGGUGUAUGUUAAGCCUUACUGUCUCCAUGCUACAGUGGCCAUAAUUGUCCUUUGUCCCUUUUUUUAUUAUUAUUUUUUUUAAACCAUAAUUCUGGUUCUGCUUGGGUGCUGUCCACUGCCUCCAUUUCUUGUGGUGGUGUCAGUGGGCCUGGGUGUUAUAGCUACCAUACCACAGUGUCUGUAAUAUUUGUCUUUCUGUGUCUUGUUGUUUAGUGUUUGUGUAACUUUGGGUUAACUGGUGUCUUCUUUGUCUCCAGGAGCCAGUGAGUCUUGGUGGGACAGGGUAGGCUAGCUGCAUUUAUUCAGUGGUGUGUUUCACAGCAUGCUCAGUGUGUCAACACAACUUCCUUAUGGUGUAGAUAGUGUGUGAUUUUGGUGUGACUUGCAGUGGGUUUGGAUGACCUCCUGAGCUGUAGCAGACCUGCCUUGUCCCUGCCAAGCCUGGGCCUGGAGAAGUUCUUAAUUUUUAAAAUAUUUAUUGUGCUUCAGGGGAAAGUGAUUUAUUUCCAUGUCAAGUUUUAAAUGAUGCUUAAGUGUCAUAAUAAAAUACAAAUUUUUAUAUUCGUACUCAUGUCUCACUCUUAUUUUCCUUGCCCCGAUUGGUGAAACUUGUGUGUGCCUUUUGUUUGUUAGCAUUUCCCUGGUUCUCCCUCAGGGUGGUGUAGUUGGAUUUACUGCAUUUGGGAUAAACGUUUUCCCUCCACUUAGGAAUGCCACAU
This is a long non-coding RNA of Ictalurus punctatus (channel catfish), 1284 nucleotides long. Lineage: Eukaryota; Metazoa; Chordata; Actinopteri; Siluriformes; Ictaluridae. The record is from Ensembl.